RNAcentral lists this ribosomal RNA (254 nucleotides) under uncultured bacterium. RNAcentral's name for it is "partial 16S ribosomal RNA". It matches the Rfam family "Bacterial small subunit ribosomal RNA", at positions 524 to 776 of the family's 1533-position model. The record is from RNAcentral.
UACGGGGGGAGCAAGCGUUGUUCGGAUUUACUGGGCGUAAAGGGCGCGUAGGCGGUCAGCACAAGUCAGUUGUGAAAUCUCCGGGCUUAACUCGGAAAGGUCAACUGAUACUGUGCGACUAGAGUGCGGAAGGGGCAACUGGAAUUCUUGGUGUAGCGGUGAAAUGCGUAGAUAUUGGGAAGAACACCGGUGGCGAAGGCGGCGACCUGGUCCUUGACUGACGCUGAGGCGCGAAAGCGUGGGGAGCAAACAGG